GCAAAUGCGUGCCAUGGCUGCACAUUGCCGAGAAAUGUGAGCCAUUGCUGCCCAUUGCCGAGAGAAAAGAAAAUUGGGCCACAUGGCUGCCCACAUUGCCGCGAAAAUCUGAGCAUGGCAGGGCAAAGCGUGCCAUGGCUGCCCAUUGCGAGAAAUUGUGAGCCAUUGCUUGCCCAUUGCCGAGGGGAAGAAAGGAAAAAUGGGCAAUGGGAUGCCCAUUGCCGAGAAAUCUGAGCCGAGGCUGGGCAAAUGUGUGCAUGGCCGCCCCAUAUUGCCGAGAAAAUUGUGAAGCCAUGCCCAGAAAUUUGAGCCAUGGCUGCCCAUUGCCAGAAAUUGUGCCAUUGCCUAAGAAAAGUGGGCCAUGGCUGCCCAGGCGAGAAAUCUGAGCCAUGGCAGGCAAAUGCGUGCCAUGGACUGCCCAGUGCCUAGAAAAUGGAGCCAUUUGCUCAGAAAGAAAUUUUACCAUGGCGACCAUUGCCAAGAAAUGUUGUGCCAUUGCCUAGAAAAUUGGGCCAUGGACUUCCCAUGCCGAGAAAUUAGGGGCAUGGCCGGCAAAUGCGUGCAUGGCUGGCAUUGCCGCGGAAUGAGUGCCAUUGCCGGAAAUGUGAACCAUGGCUGGGCAAUUGCCGAGGGAAAAUUGGGCCAUGGCCUGGGCAUUUGUGUGCACGGAUGAUCAUUGCCUAGAGAACUUUGAGCCAUUGCCCAGGAAGAAAUUUGAGCCAUGGCUGGCCAUUGCGAGGAAAUCUUGAGCCAUGGCCGGGCAAAAAAUACGUGCCAUGGCUGCCCGAUUGCCUAGAAAUGAGAGCCAUGGCCCAGGAAAGAAAUUUGAGCCAUGGUGCCCAUUGCAAGAAAUGUUGUGCCAUUGCCUAGAAAAUUGGGCCAUGGCUUCAUUCCGAGAAAAUAGAAAUUAGGAUGGCGAGGCAAAUGCGUGGCUGGGCUGGCCAUGGCCGAGGAAAUGAGUGCCAUUGCGAGAAAUGGGAACCAUGGCGGGCAAUCUGCCGAGAGAAAAAUUGGGCAUGGCUGGGACAAAUGUGUGCCUAGGCUGAUCAUUGCCUAGAAAAUGGGAGCCAUGCCCAGGAAAAAUUGGGCCUAUGGCUGCCCAUUGCCGAGAAAUCUGAGGCCAUGGCCUGGCAAAUGCUGCCAUGGCUGCCCAUUGCCGAGGAAAGAAAUUGUAGCCCUUUGCCCAGAAUUUUGAGCCAUGGGGCCAUUGCCUGAGAAAUGAGGUGCCAUUGCUGGAAAAUGUGAGCCUGGCUGGGCAAUGCCGAGGAAAUGUGAGCCAUUGCCCAGAAAUUUUAGCCAUGGCUGGCCAUUGCCGAGAAAUGAUGUGCCAUUUCCUGGAAAUGUGAGCCCUUGCUGGGCAAUUGCCAGGAAAUUUUGAAGCCAUGGCUGCCAUUUGACCCGAGAAAAAUUGUGCCAUUGCCGAGGAAAAUGGGCACAUGGAUGGCAAUUUCCAAGAAAUUGUUAGCCAUUGCCUGCAAUUGCCGAGAAAUGUGAGCCAUUGCCCAGAAAUUUUAGCCAUGGCUGGCCAUUGCCGAGAAAUGAUGUGCCAUUGCCUGGAAAUGUGAGCCCUUGCUGGGCAAUUGCCCAGAAAUUUGAGCCAUGGCUGCCCAUUGCCGAGAAAUUUUGUGCCAUUGCCGAGAAAAUUGGGCCAUGGUUGCCCAUUGCCGAGGAAAUGAGUGCCAUUGCCGAGAAAUGUGAACCAUGGCUGGGCAAUUUCCGAGAAAAUUGGGCCAUGGCUGGGCAUUUGUGUGCCACGGCUGAUCAUUGCCUAGAAAAUUUGAGCCAUGGCUGGCCAUUGCCGAGAAAUGUUGUGCCAUUGCCGAGAAAAUUGGGCCAUGGCUGCCCAUUGCCGAGAAAUUUGAGCCAUGGCCGGGCAAAUGUGUGCCAUUGCUGCCCAUUGCCGAGAAAUUGUGAGCCAUUGCUGCCCAUGGCCGAGAAAAUUUGUGCCAUUGCCGAGAAAAUUGGGCCAUGGCUGCCCAUUGCCGAGGAGGGGAUGGAAAAUUGAGUGCAUUGCGAGAAGAAAUGUGAACCAUGGGCUGGGCCCAUUGCCGAGAAAAAUUGGGCCAUGGCUGGGCAUUGGUGUGCCAAGGCCAGAUCAUUGCUCAGAAAUUGAAGCAUGGCUGGCCAGCCGAGAAUGUGUUGCCAUUGCCGAGAAGAAAGAAAUUUGGGCCAUUGCCGGGCAAAGUGUGCCAUUGUGCCCAUUGCCGGAAAAUUGGUGCCAUUGCCGAGAAUUGGGCCCAUGGCUGCCCAUUGCCGGAAGAAGAGAAAUCGAGCCAUUGCUCCCAUUGCCGAGGAAAAUGGAGGCCAUUGCCGAGAAAAUGUGGAACCAGGUGGGCAAUUGCCGAGAAAAUUGGGCCAUGGUUGGGCAUUUGUGUGCCAUGCUGAUCAUUGCCCAGAAAUUUGAGCCAUGGCUGGCCAUUGCGAGAAAUGUGUGCCAUGCCGAGAAAAAUUGGUCCAUGCUGCCCCAUUGCGAGAAAUCUGAGCCAUUGCGCCCCAGCCCAUUGCUGAGCGGGAAAUGAGUGCCAAUGCCGAGAAAUGUGAACCCAGGCUGGGCAAUGCCGAGGAAAAUGGGCAAUGGCGGGCAUUUUGUGUGCCAUUUGCUGAUCAUUGCCCAGAAUUGAGCCAUGGCUGGCCAUUGCCGAGAAAUGUUGUGCCAUUGCCGAGGAAAAUUGGGCCAUGGCUGCCCAUGCCGAUCAAUCUGCGCCAAUUGGCCGGGCAAAUUGUGCCAUUGCUGCCCGAUUGCCGAGAAAUUGUGGAGCCAUGCUGCCAUUGACGAGGAAAUUUGUGCCAUUGCGAAGAAAAUUGGGCCAUGGCUGCCAUUGCCAGAAAUCUGAGCCAAUGGCUGCCCAUUGCCGAAGGAAAGUGAGUGCCCUUUCCCGAGAAAUGUGAACCAUGGCUGGGCAAUGCCGAGAAUUGGGCCAUGGCUGGGCAUUGUGUGCAAGACAGAUCAUUGCCCAGAAAAGGACAAAAUUUGAGCCAUGGCUGGCCAUUGCCGAGAAAAUGUUGGCCAUUGCCGAGAAGAAAAUUGGGCAAUGGCUGCCCAUUGCCGGGGAAGAAGAAAUAUGAGCCAGCCGGGCAAAUGUGUGCCUUGCUGCCCAAUUGCCUAGAAAUUGUGAGCCAUUGACUGCCCAUUGCCGAAGAAAAGAGAAAGAAAAUUUUGUCCAUUGACGGAGAAGUGGGACCAUGGCACUUGCCCAUUGCCGAGAAAUCUGAGCCAUGGCCGGGCAAAUGCGUGCCAUGGCUGCCCAUUGCCGAGGAAAUGAGUGCCAUUGCCGAGAAAUGUGAGCCAUGGCUGGGCAAUUGCCGAGAAAAUUGGGCCAUGGCUGGGCAAAUGUGUGCCACGGCUGAUCAUUGCCCAGACAAUGUGAGCCAUUG
Molecule: long non-coding RNA, 3375 nt
Filed under: Actinidia chinensis (golden kiwifruit)
Lineage: Eukaryota; Viridiplantae; Streptophyta; Magnoliopsida; Ericales; Actinidiaceae
Description: long non-coding RNA (ACHI_LNC000893)
Source: RNAcentral